GAUCAUGGCUCAGGACGAACGCUGGCGGCGUGCUUAACACAUGCAAGUCGAACGAGAGCGUAGAGAAAGCUUGCUUUUUCUACAAUCUAGUGGCAAACGGGUGAGUAACGCGUAAACAACCUGCCCUACGGAUGGGGACAACAGCUGGAAGCGGCUGCUAAUACCGAAUACGUUCCGAAAGUCGCAUGACAGUCGGAAGAAAGGAUGGCCUCUAUUUAUAAGCUAUCGCCGGAGGAGGGGUUUGCG
RNAcentral lists this ribosomal RNA (246 nucleotides) under uncultured bacterium. Its description in RNAcentral is "partial 16S ribosomal RNA". It matches the Rfam family "Bacterial small subunit ribosomal RNA", at positions 15 to 235 of the family's 1533-position model. The record is from RNAcentral.